GUGGGGAAUCUUCCACAAUGGACGAAAGUCUGAUGGAGCAACGCCGCGUGAGUGAAGAAGGUCUUCGGAUCGUAAAACUCUGUUGUUAGAGAAGAACGUGCGUGAUAGUAACUGAUCAUGUAAUGACGGUAUCUAACCAGAAAGCCACGGCUAACUACGUGCCAGCAGCCGCGGUAAUACGUAGGUGGCAAGCGUUGUCCGGAUUUAUUGGGCGUAAAGGGAACGCAGGCGGUUUUUUAAGUCUGAUGUGAAAGCCUUCGGCUUAACCGAAGAAUAGCAUUGGAAACUGGAAGACUUGAGUGCAGAAGAGGAGAGUGGAAUUCCAUGUGUAGCGGUGAAAUGCGUAGAUAUAUGGAGGAACACCAGUGGCGAAAGCGGCUCUCUGGUCUGUAACUGACGCUGAGGUUCGAAAGCGUGGGUAGCAAACAGGAUUAGAAACCCGGGUAGUCC
This 450-nucleotide ribosomal RNA is filed under the name uncultured bacterium. RNAcentral describes it as "partial 16S ribosomal RNA". It matches the Rfam family "Bacterial small subunit ribosomal RNA", at positions 354 to 796 of the family's 1533-position model. The record is from RNAcentral.